UAGGACUACCCGCUGAACUUAAGCAUAUC
This 29-nucleotide ribosomal RNA is filed under the name Cystodermella cinnabarina f. nogalesii. Its description in RNAcentral is "partial 28S ribosomal RNA". Lineage: Eukaryota; Fungi; Basidiomycota; Agaricomycetes; Agaricales; Squamanitaceae. The record is from RNAcentral.